GGGAGGGAUCCGGUAAGAACCCCUAGAUAUAUAAGAACCCUAGAUAUAUAAGAAUCCAUCUCAACCGUAGGAUCAAGUUGUUUUAGACGGUUAAGAUUAAAACACGUGUCCAACUUUUUCAACCCCCUUACCCACCUCCCAACCUUUUCUCUCUCCUCUAACUUUCUUUCCCUUCUUCCCGAUUCUCUCAUUUUCUCUCUCCUAAAACCCCCAAAAAUCUGAUAGAAGUUGCAAUUUGAAGGAUUUUCGCUUCAGUUGAAGGCAUUUGGUGAAUUUUAUGAAGAAAUUGAUAACAAGAGUGUCGUUUUGUCCACUUUCGAAACAAGAAACAUUGAGAUGAAAUGGAAGAGCAAUGCAAACAAACAUGAUUGUGGAGUAUUUUUGUUGAAGCACAUGGAAACCUAUGAAGGACAAUGUCAAAAACAAUGAAAUUCGGGGCUAGAGAAGGGUAAUUUUGAGCAAAUGAAAAGGUUAUGAGUGGAGUAUUGUGGGAAGAUUAUAACAUCAGAAGUAAAUGAAGAACGGAAAAGAGUGAUGAAGAUGGCUAGAAAGUGGUCAAAGCUGAACAAAAAUUGAUAUAUGAUUGUGUAAAUCUUAAGUUUAUAUCUUUAGACAUAUAUUUAAAACAAUAUAUAGUACAUUUUUUGUACAAAUAUGGAGAUGACUAUUUUGAACAUGGGUAUCAUUUGGAAUAUUAAUAUCAUUUGAAACAUUAACCUGAUUUGAAACAUUAUUUUUAUAAUGUUCUAAAGUAUUUCUGAUUUGGAAUAAGCUUAAGUUUUUCUUUCGUACAAUGAAGAAGGAAGAGGAAAGGAA
Molecule: long non-coding RNA, 816 nt
Organism: Chenopodium quinoa (quinoa)
Lineage: Eukaryota; Viridiplantae; Streptophyta; Magnoliopsida; Caryophyllales; Amaranthaceae
Exons: 3
Source: RefSeq, a predicted model, not a curated record